UUAAAUAUCACUGGACCUAGCACCUAGGGAAUGUGACUCUUGUCUUUUGCAUCAGCCCCACUCGUUUUGAGAACUGUAACAUAUCACUGGGCCAAACACCUAGAAGAUGGGAAGUGUCUGCCUAUGCCCUGCAAACAGGGCUUUAGCCCUACCACUCUCAAGAGCCUCGUGACAUAUCUCUGCAUUCAUCAUCUAGGAGAUGUGACUCCUCCCUGCUGCCUGCGCUCUGCCUACAGGGAAGACCAUAACAACAUUUGGCCCAGCAACACGGUGAUGUGUUUUUUCCCAGGGCCUUGCUCACAGGGAGCAUUGUGACAUAUCACUGGAACCAGCAUCCAGGGCUGUGACUCUGUGUCCUGCUGUUAGAACAGGAUUGUAACAUAUCACUGACCAAGCACCCAGGUGAUGUGACUCUUCUGCCUGGUGCCUGCCUUCAGGGAAAAUUGUGACAUAUGCCUGGCCUAGCACCAAAGUGAUGUGGCUCUCCUGCUACCUCUAUGCACAGAUGGGUUGGUGAUGCUCAGACAAAUAUUCAGCACACCUGUGAGUCUGCGACUCCAGUAAUCAUCCACAGUCUGCAGGAGAAAUUGAGGCUCUCACCAACAAAUCAAGUGCACAAUUGAGAUUGCGACUCUUGUACUCAGACCCAACAUACAGAAUGUGUUGACUCUCAAUUUUAAAACCAGAACAUGUGACUGCCUGCAGGGGAUAUGGUGACAUUUUACUUUGCCCAGCACCAAGAUGACUUGAAUCUGCUGCCUUUGUUCUACUUUCAGAAGACAUUGUGACAUAUCGCUGGGCCUAGCACCAAGGUGAUGUGAAUCUUCUGCCUGGACCUGCUCACAGAGGGAAUUGUUACAUAUUUUUGACUUCAUCAACUAUUUGAUGUGACUCUCCUCUCUAACCUGGGCCUUGCCCAUAAAAAACAUUGUGGCUUAUCUCUGGGCCCAAAACCUAGGUGAUGUGACUGUCUUCUUAGGGUCAUGCCCACAGUAGAGAGAUGCCUUAUUGCUAAACCCAGCACACAGGUGAGGUGAUUCUUCUGUCUGGUCCCUGCCCACAGGGGUCAUGAUGACAUCUCUCUAAGCCCAUCACCUAGAUUAUGUGAGUUCUCUUUUUCUUCUGUUAGCUAUAUAGAAGAUUGUGACAUAUUGCUUGGCCCAGACCUCAUGUGAUGUGAAUCUCCUCUCAUGCCUUGGUCCUGUUUUUUUUUGGCCGUUGUUGUUUUGUUUUGUUUUUUGAGAUGGAGUCUUGCUCUGUUGCCUAAGCUGGAGUGCAGUGGCAUAAUCUAGGCUCACUGCAACCUCUGCCUCCUGGGUUCAAGUUAUUCUCCUGCCUCAGCCCCUGAAUAGCUAGGAUUAAAGGUGAGUGCCACCACACUCAGCUAAUUUUUGUAUUUUUAGUAGAGAUGGGGUUUCACCAUGUUGAUUAGGCUGGUAUUGAACUCCUGACUUCGUGAUCAACUCGCCUCUGCCUCCCAAACUUUUGGGAUUACAGGCAUGAGCCACCAUGCCCAGUCAAGAUGAUGAUACAUUUCUAAACCCAGGUUAUAGGCAGGUGAGGGUUCUUCUACCUAUACACACGUUUAAAGGGAUGUUGAAUCUCACACGUGGUCUCAGGGCCACAGGUACAAGCAUGGGUCUUCACCAGCAUGAAUAUCUCAGAGCAUACUGCGACUCUCCAGUGUAAUGUAUAAAGCUCUCAGGUGGGACAGUGUCCUAACAGGAUCCAGAACACAGAAAAGAUGUUGAUGCUCCUAUGCACACCCAGGUCACAGUAAAAUAUGUCAUUUUCCCACAUAAUCAUAGCCCAAUGUUGAGAUUCUGCAUCUCACACCUGAAAGAAGUUGAAAGAUGGAAAAUUGACUCUCUUAUAUAGAUCUGGUCUACAGGUAGGUUGGUGACAUUCAGAUCAAAAUUAAGUACACUUGUGAGGCUAUAACUCUUCUAAGAAGACACAGCUCACAGGAGCAACUGAUGCUCCUAUGAACAAAUCCAGUCCGUGAUUGAGAUUCUAACUCAUGUACUUAUUGUCAGGCCUCUGAGCCCAAGCUAAGCCAUCAUAUCCCCUGUGACCUGCACGUAUACAUCCAGAUGGCCUGAAGCAACCGAAUAUCCACAAAGGAAGUGAAAAUAGCCGUAACUGAUGACAUUCCACCAUUGUGAUUUGUUCCUGCCCCACCCUAACUGAUACGAUAUAUUCUCCCUCUGCCCUGAAGAAGGUACUUUGUAAUAGUCUCCCCCCACCUUAAAAAGGUACUUUGUAAUAUUCUCCCCACCCGUGAGAAUGUACUUUGUACACCUAUCCCAAACCUAUAAGAACUAAUGAUAAUCCCACCACGCUUUGCUGACUCCUUUUUUGGACUCAGCCCACCUGCACCCAGGUGAAAUAAACAGCCUUGUUGCUCAC
Molecule: long non-coding RNA, 2409 nt
Filed under: Homo sapiens (human)
Lineage: Eukaryota; Metazoa; Chordata; Mammalia; Primates; Hominidae
Description: HSALNT0257245
Source: RNAcentral